UCCCUCUCAGGGUGGCACCUGGGGAGUUUCCAGUACUCUCUCAGUCUCGACUAUGGGAGGGAGAGUUAAGCAGAGGCCUACCCAUUCCAUUCCCGGCUUGGACCGUGGCUAGUGAGUGGAAGGCAAUCUGUUACAAGU
Small nucleolar RNA from Ornithorhynchus anatinus (platypus), 138 nucleotides. The record is from RefSeq and is a predicted model, not a curated record. NCBI's taxonomy places the organism in Eukaryota, Metazoa, Chordata, Mammalia, Monotremata, Ornithorhynchidae.